Molecule: ribosomal RNA, 440 nt
Filed under: uncultured bacterium
Lineage: Bacteria
Description: bacterial SSU rRNA
Rfam family: Bacterial small subunit ribosomal RNA
Source: RNAcentral
CCUACGGGAGGCAGCAGUGGGGAAUUUUCCGCAAUGGGCGAAAGCCUGACGGAGCAACGCCGCGUGAGGGAUGAAGGCCUCUGGGCUGUAAACCUCUUUUAUCAAGGAAGAAGAUCUGACGGUACUUGAUGAAUAAGCCACGGCUAAUUCCGUGCCAGCAGCCGCGGUAAUACGGGAGUUGCAAGCGUUAUCCGGAUUUAUUGGGUUUAAAGGGUCCGCAGGCGGAUCAAUAAGUCAGUGGUGAAAGCCCGCAGCUCAACUGCGGAACUGCCAUUGAUACUGUUGAUCUUGAGUGUGGUUGAAGUUGGCGGAAUGUGUCGUGUAGCGGUGAAAUGCUUAGAUAUUACACAGAACACCGAUUGCGAAGGCAGCUCACUAAGCCAUUACUGACGCUCAGGGACGAAAGCGUGGGGAGCGAACAGGAUUAGAUACCCUAGUAG